GAUGAACGCUAGCUACAGGCUUAACACAUGCAAGUCGAGGGGCAGCAUGAAGGAAGCUUGCCUCCUUUGAUGGCGACCAGCGCACGGGUGAGUAACGCGUAUCCAACCUUCCCCAUAGUAGAGAAUAGCCCGGCGAAAGUCGGAUUAAUUCCCUAUGUUGUUUGAUGCUGACAUCAAAAUCAAACCAAAGAUUCAUCGCUAAGGGAUGGGGAUGCGUCUGAUUAGAUAGUAGGCGGGGUAACGGCCCACCUAGUCAACGAUCAGUAGGGGUUCUGAGAGGAAGGUCCCCCACAUUGGAACUGAGACACGGUCCAAACUCC
RNAcentral lists this ribosomal RNA (320 nucleotides) under uncultured Prevotella sp. Its description in RNAcentral is "bacterial SSU rRNA". It matches the Rfam family "Bacterial small subunit ribosomal RNA", at positions 28 to 339 of the family's 1533-position model. Lineage: Bacteria; Pseudomonadati; Bacteroidota; Bacteroidia; Bacteroidales; Prevotellaceae. The record is from RNAcentral.